Molecule: ribosomal RNA, 250 nt
Filed under: uncultured bacterium
Lineage: Bacteria
Description: partial 16S ribosomal RNA
Rfam family: Bacterial small subunit ribosomal RNA
Source: RNAcentral
UAGAUACCCUGGUAGUCCACGCCGUAAACGAUGUCAACUAGCCGUUGGAAGCCUUGAGCUUUUAGUGGCGCAGCUAACGCAUUAAGUUGACCGCCUGGGGAGUACGGCCGCAAGGUUAAAGCUCAAAUGAAUUAACGGGGGCCCGCACAAGCGGUGGAGCAUGUGGUUUAACUCGAAGCAACGCGAAGAACCUUACCAGGCCUUGACAUCCAAUGAACUUUCCAGAGAUGGAUUGAUGCCUUCGGGAACA